AGAUUGAACGCUGGCGGAAUGCUUUACACAUGCAAGUCGAACGGCAGCACGGGGGCAACCCUGGUGGCGAGUGGCGCACGGGUGAGUAAUACAUCGGAACGUAUCCUAGAGUGGGGGAUAGCCCGGCGAAAGCCGGAUUAAUACCGCAUACGCUCGAAAGAGGAAAGUGGGGGAUCGUAAGACCUCACGCCCAAGGAGCGGCCGAUGCCGGAUUAGCUUGUUGGUGAGGUAAAAGCUCACCAAGGCGACGAUCCGUAGCUGGUCUGAGAGGACGACCAGCCACACUGGGACUGAGACACGGCCCAGACUUCUACGGGAGGCAGCAGUGGGGAAUUUGGACAAUGGGGAAACCUGAUCAGCAUUCCGCGUGAGUGAAGAAGGCCUCGGGUUGUAAAGCUCUUUCGGCAGGAACGAAACGGUUUGGCUAACACCCAGACUACUGACGGUACCUAGAAGAAGAAGCACCGCUAACUACGUGCCAGCAGCCGC
RNAcentral lists this ribosomal RNA (489 nucleotides) under uncultured soil bacterium. RNAcentral's name for it is "bacterial SSU rRNA". It matches the Rfam family "Bacterial small subunit ribosomal RNA", at positions 26 to 518 of the family's 1533-position model. The record is from RNAcentral.